CCUACGGGUGGCAGCAGUGAGGAAUAUUGGUCAAUGGACGAGAGUCUGAACCAGCCAAGUAGCGUGAAGGAUGACUGCCCUAUGGGUUGUAAACUUCUUUUAUAUGGGAAUAAAAUGUUCCACGUGUGGGAUUUUGUAUGUACCAUAUGAAUAAGGAUCGGCUAACUCCGUGCCAGCAGCCGCGGUAAUACGGAGGAUCCGAGCGUUAUCCGGAUUUAUUGGGUUUAAAGGGAGCGUAGGUGGAUUGUUAAGUCAGUUGUGAAAGUUUGCGGCUCAACCGUAAAAUUGCAGUUGAAACUGGCAGUCUUGAGGACAGUAGAGGUGGGCGGAAUUCGUGGGGUAGCGGUGAAAUGCUUAGAUAUCACGAAGAACUCCGAUUGCGAAGGCAGUUCACUGGACUGCAACUGACACUGAGGCUCGAAAGUGUGGGUAUCAAACAGGAUUAGAUACCCCUGUAGUC
Molecule: ribosomal RNA, 460 nt
Filed under: uncultured bacterium
Lineage: Bacteria
Description: partial 16S ribosomal RNA
Rfam family: Bacterial small subunit ribosomal RNA
Source: RNAcentral